Non-coding RNA from Rattus norvegicus (Norway rat), 1726 nucleotides. Lineage: Eukaryota; Metazoa; Chordata; Mammalia; Rodentia; Muridae. The record is from RefSeq and is a predicted model, not a curated record.
UAGGGCGUGAACUGACAAAAAACCUCCAUCGAACAUUCUAAGAAUGCUGAGGGGGAUUCUGUCUGCCUCUGGACUGUUUCCCUUACCUUAGCCAAAUUGGUGGGGUAUUUUCCAGCCCCUCAGAGACCCACCAUUGGAGUCUGAUGGUAGACCUGGUGCCCCCUACCUUCAGGCAUAUUGAAGUCAACAGGCAGAAGUGAGGGCCUUCCAUCCGUAUCUGGAACAUUUUUGUUGGCCUCUAGUAGGAUUCUGUAUUUCCUGUAACAGCUACUAACAAGCAUCUCAAGUGGGAAGGUGAGAAAACAAGAAGAGAUUCCAGAAAAUAGAGGUCCGCAGAAGAGGACAAAUAGCGUUCAGUCACACAGAAAGACAAUCAAAAGAUUAACAGACAAAAAAAACCAGAAGUGCGCACAAAAACAAAAAACAAGCAGCCGCUAUGAGAUCACCACAAGACUGAACUGAUUCAGACAGGAGCUUCCAUGAGCUCACCAAAGACAGAUGAAGGGGAGGAGAUUCCACAUCAGUCCUCCUUCCCAACAGGACAGAUGAAGUGGGUCUUCGGAGACAAGGUGGUCACCAAUCCCAGACGAGCCCCCAAAUGAAAGACCCCUGGAGUGGGGAGAACCUCACUCAAGUCUCGGGAUGAUGCGGCCUCCUAAGAACUCACAUGCCUGAAGCCUUGGAGGUGCUGCAUGGUAGAGUUUCCUGUAUCUUCCAGAGGAGAAGAAAACACCAUCCAGAAUCCUUGCUCAAUCACAGGCAAGUGCUUGUCACAAGUGUCAUGCUGCCUGUCAUCUGAAAGGCAGCAGAGAAGCAUCAUCAUGGUGUCCCCACUCUAAAGACAAAAUGCAAGUCUCUGGGCAUGCUGGUGGCAUCCCACACUCCCCCUGAUCUGCUGGCUUAUCCUGCUGCAUAGGACAUCAUCUGUACUUGGAACUCCUCGGUCUCCACCAAUGGUUCUUCAAAUCUCAAGUCAUGUACAUUUUCAGAUCAUCGAGCUCCUCUGAAGGAUACUGGUGCUACUAAGGCUGGAGACAGUAAGACAUGUGCACAUCCAGUGUAUCCUCAAAGGCUUCAGUCCUUCAUGAGUUCUCAUCUUUCUCUCAUGAGGCCUGCAGUUAGCAUUACCUUCAUGGUUCUCAUCUUUCUUGCUAUUCUCUAUGACCGGAGUUCUACUCAGACUGCCGUUCUAGCAGGUCCUCAAUGAGGUUCAGGCUCAAAACGAGAACCAAGGAUAGUGACUGAUGGUGCUGGAGGAUAGCAAACAUCCAAUAGCCAGCAACGUAGGAACUUCACAGGACUCUGUGUACUGUGUGGAUGACAGUGCACAUCCUUUAAAUCUAAUCUCCAGGUCUCAGUGACUUCUGUUUGCUGCAGUGAAUGGUGUGAGCCUUGUCUAGUUUACUACCAGGCACAGAUGGACUUCUUAGAAAACUCUCUUAGAAAACAUUUAGACAUGUGUAGAAAUCAAGAAGUAAAGAUUGAGUGGUUUGGAAGACACAAGUCCUGCCAAUGGAACGAUGCAAGCCCAGUGUUAGCUUCCUCCACGUAGUUCUCCUUUCCUUCACGUUUAUCUUUGCCUUCCUUUGAAGAAUGACCUACAGCAAGUAACUUGCCUUCCAAAGCCUCUGCUUACAGAUCCAUAAAGGAAAACUAUGAAUUUUAGAUUUCAAGUAAUAAGUAUUAGUCAGAGUUCUUCAAAGAAAUAUAACCAAUUGUAUAUGUC